GGGGCUCAUCUCCAGGCCCCUCUCCCUUCCCUGCACCCAGUGGGAGAGAGGGCUCUCGGCAACAGUGAGUGCUGGCAGGAGGGACUGCUGCAGCCAACUGGGGGGCUCUGUGACAUGCCCAAGUCCUUGUGCUCUCUCCAGCUAGGGAAGGACGGGAGUAGGGCUGAAGAGUGCCUGUGUCAGGGCCUGAUGUACCUCGAGGAUCCUGAGGCCACUCUGCAAGAGGUGGCCACUAGGUUCAUUGGGGUGGCCACGCAGCACCUGAGGGACCAAAGCAUGCCUAUGUGGAUGAGAUCUGCAGCACCCUUGCAGGCAGACAGCAAUGAAAUCGUCUCUUGCCUGGUAACUCAGACCGUCUUGAUCCUGAGGGCUUUAAAUCUACAGCAAAAACCAAGAUUCAAUAUAUGUACACUGUUCUUCUGGCGUCUCUGAGCCAGCUGGAGGACGGCUGUGAUUUAAUAAAUCUGAAACAAUAGGCUCAAAUCCAUGGUGUCCUUCAGAUGCGCAGCAUCCUGAGCAGACUGCAUCCUGUUUGGCCUGUACCACUGCCUGCAGGACAACUUCCCCUCAGCACACCACAGCCCCAGAUUGGUUUGAGAAGUUGACCCCUUGCUGAGGCUUUUCCCAGGAGAAACCUCAUUUGUCUCUCCUCAGGGCAGUCCCUCCACCACACAGCGAGGACAGGGCACAGAAAGAGUGGCCCCAGCUCUGCGUCCCUGUGAGUGUCCAGGCACUCAACAAGGCAUUUGCUGUUGCUGCAUCACCACCUCCCCUCACCGUAAUGGUUUUGGAAGGGUUUCCAAGCAGCUUACUGUGGUAUUAUGGGGACCAGAGGGAAACCUCAGGGGCCCUAGAGAAACUGGAGGACAAACAGGGAGUCUUGGUCACCACCACCACAUCAGAGGAUGGGCCUCUGCCACCAUGUUGCUGCUGACAGGGGCAGCUGUCCCAACCCACCGGUCAAGGGCAUGAUGUUCAUUAUAAAUCCCUGUCAGGCUGAGCAAAGACACUGGACACGUGUUUGGGAACUUAUUGUACAGUCCCCAUAACUCUGGCAACCAGUCCACUGUUUAGACUGAAAAGGUGUUGGCCAACAAGCCCUUAAAUUCUUACAGCACACUUCCACAAGAGUGAUGGCUAACAAGCCCUUAAUUUCAUACAGUACACAGCAAUAAGUUCGCAAUUCCCAAAACAAACUCUUCAAAAGUGCUGGCACACAGGCUACUACAUCACUACUCAAAGAUGCUGGCUGACAAACCACAACACACUAGUAUUCAGUCGUUCCCCCCAGAGAGGGAAAGCUUUUUACCACCUCAGUUGUAAUAUCUGGAACAUGCAGAGCUUGGGUGCAUAUUAAUGGGAAGUACUAGACCUGAAUUGCAAUUAUUUUUUAAAUCAGACUUGAAGAUCACUUACAGAAAGUGUAAUAGUUCAGUAAACUACUGUGAGAUUAAAAAAAAAUAAAAAAAUCUCAGAGACUGGAAGAUUUCUGUAACUGAAUAAGCUUAGGAAAACAAGAAACGUUGCCCCUCAUCCAUGCCUUUAUUGUUUUAACAGUGUGCCUAAUAAUAAAGUU
This is a long non-coding RNA of Pipra filicauda (Wire-tailed manakin), 1576 nucleotides long. RefSeq lists it as uncharacterized. The transcript has 3 exons. The record is from RefSeq and is a predicted model, not a curated record. Lineage: Eukaryota; Metazoa; Chordata; Aves; Passeriformes; Pipridae.